RNAcentral lists this long non-coding RNA (1429 nucleotides) under Anser cygnoides (Swan goose). RNAcentral's name for it is "lncRNA (ENSACDG00005016068.1)". Lineage: Eukaryota; Metazoa; Chordata; Aves; Anseriformes; Anatidae. The record is from RNAcentral.
GUCUUCUGCUUCGAGUGCGUCAAGAGCCGCUACGACACGCGCCAGCGCAAGUGCCCCAAGUGCAACGCCGCCUUCGGCGCCCACGACUUCCACCGCGUCUACAUCAGCUGAGCCCCCGGGCCGCCCCCGGCACCCAUGGGUGCUCCCCCACCAUUCACGGGUGCUCCCUGACCAUCCCUGGGUGCUCUGCGGUCAACAUUGGGUCUUGGAGGUUGGUCAACGCCACCCUGGAGGACCGUGGAACCCUUUGUGUGUGCGUUAGGUGAAGACCAUGGGCACCCGUGGGUGCUUCUUGACGUCGUGGGGUGCCCCAAGGCCACCCCCAGCACCCAUGGGUGCUCCCCGACCAUCCCUGGGUGCUCUCUGGUCAACGUUGGGUCUUGGAGGUUGGUCAACGCCACCCUGGAGGACCACGGAACCCUUUGCACCUGUGUUCGAUGAAGCCCACGGUGCUCCCCGACCAUCCCUGGGUGCUCCACGGCCAACGUUGGGUCUUGGAGGUUGGUUGACGCCACCUUGGAGGACCGCAGUUGGCUUUGCGUUGGCGUCAGUUGAACCCCAGGGUGCCCCGUGCCACCCAUGGGUGCCCCCCGGUGACCGACGGGUGCUGUGGCCCCGCCCCCUGCCCCUCCCCCCCCCCAAUAAAGUGCUUGGAGCCGUAGGCGUGGCUGCGCGUGGCCUCCUUGGGGGGGGGGGGUGAGACCAUAGAGAGGGGGGAAGAAGGGCCAGAGGGGCUGCGGGGCCAUAGAGACCGGGGAGGUGGGCUAGAGUGUCCCGUGGGCACGUGGGGCCGUGCUGGCAACCAUAGAGAGGUGGAGGACUUCAAACCAUAGAGUGCUGGAGGACCUCCCUUCUAGCACGGUUUAACGGAAGACCAUAGAGUCCCGGAGGCCCUCCCUCCUAGAGUCCACGCAGUCACCAUAGAGUCCUGGAGGACCUUCCUAGAACGCCCUCCCCGUGACCAUAGAGUCCUGGAGGACCUUCCUAGAACGCCCUCCCCGUGACCAUAGAGUCCUGGAGGACCUUUUUCCUAGAGAGUCCAACCCGUGACCAUAGAGAUCUGGAGGACUUGUCAUGCAGUGACCAUAGAGUCCUGGAGGACCUCCCUCCUAGAGAGUCUCCACAGUGACCACAGAGUCCCGGAGGACCUUACUCCUAGAGAGCCCACCUCGUGACCAUAGAGACCUGGAGGACUGCCGAAUGGAACCCAAGGGGUGACCAUAGAGAUGUGGAGGACCUUCUUCCUAGGGCGCCCACCCCGUAACCAUAGAGAUCUGGAGGACUUUCCUCCUAGAGAGCACAAGGGGCGACCAUAGACAGCUGGAGGACCUCCCUCCUAGAAAGGCUGCCCGGUUGUUAGCGUAGCAACCACAUAAGCACCAAGUGAUUCUAUGAAGGUGCUUUAUUCAGCGCUGGAAGCCGGGGCAGG